GCCAUGAGGGCGGGAACCCUCGUACGCGGAAGUUCAUGAGGGCGGGACCCUCGUACGCGGAAGGUCAUGAGGGCGGGACCCUCGUACGCGGAAGUUCAUGCGGGCGGGACCCUCGUACGUGGAAGGUCAUGAGGGCGGGACCCUCGUACGUGGAAGGUCAUGAGGGCGGAACCCUGGUACAUGAAAUUCGUUCUCUUAUUUAAGAGACAAAGAACGCCCUUGUUUUUUCCACCACGUGAUGGCGCAGACAGAAGACAACCAGCAUCUAUGAACCAGGAAGCCCCCACCAGGCACUGAAUCUGCCCCUGCGUGGAUCUUAGACUUGCAGACUCCAGAACUAACCUUACAAUGUCUCUUCUCCAUUAAGAAAACCUACUUCAACAUCUCCAUUGGUUCUCAACAUAGAGGAGGAAAAUAAUCAUAUUUCAUCACAGUAUUUAAGUAAGGAUCAAAGACUCUAAGAUAACUGAAAGCACUAAAUUAAUUUUCUUCACCAAGAUCACAGGAAAAACAGAAACUACAAGGAGAAAUGGAAAAAGCUGGACCUUCCCUAUGGACAUGGGGAAAAGUGGCUAUCUGGAAGUCAAGGGAAAAGAGAGAUUUUUCUUUAUAAAAUAAAAGAAAUGCCUGAACCACCAAACUGGACCACAAGCUUGAUCCAAGGAUGGUGCCUGACCCUGCACAAGGAACUCUCAGGAAAGGAACACUUCAAUGAGGGUGAUAAGGAAACUGUGUAGUUUUAAGGGAGGCCUGAGCCCUGACUCAUCAGUUUGCUUCUAAGUGUUCUCUCAGCCCAUCACCAACUCAGCUUCUGACCUAAUCAACCCCCCACCCCGUGAGCCCAGCUCCUACUUUCAACCCCAACCCCAGACUGAAACCUUAGCACCUACUUUAGCUAACACCUCUAGCUCCAAACACCCUACAUCCUAUUCCAGUCUAACCUCAUCAUCAAACAUUACCUGUAUUCAAACUCCAUAUCUUUUUUUCAAAGAAGUGCAUUCAAAACCAUAUAUACACAUACAUCUUUGCUUUUACUGUAAACAAGGCAAUCGUAAAGCCAUAUGCUUUUACAUUAUAAAGUAACCUUUCGCAGGUUUCUGAUUUUCUAAAAAACAAGUUUUGUUGAAGUUUCUGAAGUAUU
Molecule: long non-coding RNA, 1141 nt
Filed under: Homo sapiens (human)
Lineage: Eukaryota; Metazoa; Chordata; Mammalia; Primates; Hominidae
Description: HSALNT0324838
Source: RNAcentral